This 950-nucleotide ribosomal RNA is filed under the name uncultured archaeon. RNAcentral describes it as "bacterial SSU rRNA". It matches the Rfam family "Archaeal small subunit ribosomal RNA", at positions 1 to 937 of the family's 1478-position model. The record is from RNAcentral.
UUCCGGUUGAUCCUGCCGGACCCGACUGCUAUUUGGGUGAGGAUAAGCCAUGCGAGUCGAAUGGGAUACCUAAAUUUCCCAUGGCAGACUGCUCAAUAACACAUGAUCAACUUACCCUAUAGAGAAAAAUAACCUCGGGAAACUGAGGAUAAUGUUUCAUAGUUGAAAAGGCUUGGAAAAGUUUUUCGACCAAAAGGAUAAGAAAAAUGGUUUUUAUCCGCUAUAGGAUAGGAUCGUGGUCGAUUAUGGUCGUUGGUGAGGUAAUGGCUCACCAAGCCGAUAAUCGAUAGGGGCCGUGAGAGCGGGAGCCCCGAGAUGGGUACUGAGACAACGACCCAGGUCUUACGAGACGCAGCAGGCGCGGAACCUCAGCAAUACACGAAAGUGUGACUGGGUUACCCAAAGUGUUCAAUUUUGAACUGUGGUAGGUGAGUAAUGUCCCCUACUAGAAAGGAGAGGGCAAGGCUGGUGCCAGCCGCCGCGGUAAAACCAGCUCUUCAAGUGGUCGGGAUAAUUAUUGGGCUUAAAGUGUCCGUAGCCGGUUUAGUAAGUUCCUGGUAAAAUCGGGUAGCUUAACUAUCUGCAUGCUAGGAAUACUGCUAUACUAGAGGGCGGGAGAGGUCUGAGGUACUACAGGGGUAGGGGUGAAAUCUUAUAAUCCUUGUAGGACCACCAGUGGCGAAGGCGUCAGACUGGAACGUGCCUGACGGUGAGGGACGAAAGCCAGGGGAGCGAACCGGAUUAGAUACCCGGGUAGUCCUGGCCGUAAACGAUGCAUACUAGGUGAUGGCAUGGCCAUGAGCCGUGUCAGUGCCGUAGGGAAACCGUUAAGUGUGCCGCCUGGGAAGUACGGUCGCAAGGCUAAAACUUAAAGGAAUUGGCGGGGGAGCACCACAAAGGGUGAAGCCUGCGGUUCAAUUGGAUUCAACGCCGGGAAUCACUAGUGCGGC